RNAcentral lists this transfer RNA (73 nucleotides) under Marseillevirus LCMAC202. Its description in RNAcentral is "tRNA-Asn". It matches the Rfam family "tRNA". From Rfam's summary of the family: Transfer RNA (tRNA) molecules are approximately 80 nucleotides in length. The record is from RNAcentral. Lineage: Varidnaviria; Bamfordvirae; Nucleocytoviricota; Megaviricetes; Pimascovirales; Marseilleviridae.
GGUCCUUUAGCUCAAUAGGCAGAGCACCCGGCUGUUAACCGGGAGGCUGUAGGUUCAAUCCCUACAGGGACCG